CGAUGAUGGAGCCUCAAAAUCGAUGAUCGGUAUCGUUGAACAUGAUUUAUACUAUUUGAAGUAAUUAGAAAUUAAAUUUCAAACACUUUCAAUAUUAUUCUCUUAUCCAUCGAGUGGACACAAAAAUGAACGGCUGAAAAUUCUUAAAAAAAUAAUGAUAGGAGUCUUGUAAUCAAGAUCAAGAGUAUAGAUCUUGUUUAAAUAGUUUAAAAUAUUUUCUAAUAAAAAUUUAAUUGAUUUGGAUAUUUUUACGCCGUUAAACGAGAAAACGCCUCUUAUCGACCAUUAAAAUUACAAAUUUUGAAAUCCUUUGAUCAUUAGACAAAUAAUGUCAAAAAUUUUUGAAAUUUGAUUUCUAAACAAUUCAAGUGGUAUAGAUCAUGUUCAACGGUGCCGAUCGUCGAUUUGGAGACUUUAUAAUGGAAAACAAAUGGGUGGCAAAAGUAUCGAUUUGCUAUCGAUAGUAUUCUAGCUCAACUCUCUCUCUCUCUCUCUCUCUCUCUCUCUAUAUAUAUAUAUAUAUAGUUGAGCUAGAAUUCUCUCAAAAUCACCAAUGGGGUGGUGCUUGUGAGUUUUUAACUAUUGAAUUGAAAGAUGUGAGGUUGAGAUAAUGGUGGUAAGUGGUGAUCGACUAGUGAAAUUGUGUUUGAUCCAAGGGCUAUUAAUAAUUAAGGAGUAGAUCCAAUGGCUAAAAAUCUAAUAGCACCAUUGGGGUGAUACUUCUAAAAGUAUUCUAACUCAAUUAUAUAUAUAUAUAUAUAGAGAGAGAGGGAGAGAUAGAGAGAGAGAGAGAGUUUUGCUAGAAUACUAUCGGUAGUAAACGGCUCGGUUUACUACCGAUUUGUUUUCGAUAAUAGAGCUUCCAAAUUGAUGAUCGGCAUCGUUAAACAUGAUCUUAACCAUUUAAACUAUUUGGAAAUCAAAUUUCACACAUUUUCGAUAUUGUUCUCUUGUCCAUCAAGUGAACAGAAAAAUAAAUGGUUGGAAAUGAAUAUCCUUCAAAAAGUGAUGAUACAAUUUUUGUAUUUGAGCUCUAGAGUCUAUAUCUUAUUUCAAAUAGUUUAAAGAAUUUUUCAACAAAAAUUUAAUUAAUUUGAACUCUUCUAUACCGUUAAAUGGGAAAACGCACCAUAUCGACCAUUAAAAUUAUAGAUUUUGUGACCCUUUGAUCGUUUAGUUAGUGAUGCCAAAAAAUCAUGAAAUUCGAUUUCUAGAUAAUUUAAAUAGUUUAGAUCAUGUUCAACGAUACCGAUCGUUGAUUUGGAAGCUCUAUCAUAAAAAAUAAAUCGGUAGUAAACCGAGCAGUUUACUACCGAUAGUAGUCCAAUUAAACUAUAUAUAUAUAUAUAGUGAAGCUACUAUGCUUCUUGAAGUACAGAGCCUUCGUUGCUUCCAGCUUGUUUUUGAUGUUGCAACUUUUCGAUAUCAUUUGUCUGGUGAACUAUGGGUGGCAAAAGAGCCGGUUUGCUAUCGAUAGUAUUCUAGCUCAACUAUAUAUAUAUAUAUAUACACUAAUUGAGUUUAUAAUUUAUUGUAAAUCAAUAAAAAUUGCUAUUAAAAAUUAAAUUUAAUUCACGAUUGAACUCAAAUUUAAAUUUUAUUGUAGAAUGAAUGUAUAGAAGUAUUUUUUUUAACAGAUUGAUCAUAACCGUUUAUUUUUAUUUUUAAUAUUUUUAACCAAUUAAUCGUACUCGUUAGUAGAAUUAAAGUUNUUCACGAUUGAACUCAAAUUUAAAUUUUAUUGUAGAAUGAAUGUAUAGAAGUAUUUUUUUUAACAGAUUGAUCAUAACCGUUUAUUUUUAUUUUUAAUAUUUUUAACCAAUUAAUCGUACUCGUUAGUAGAAUUAAAGUUACAGAUAAGUAUAGAUAUUUUUUUUUAACAAAUUAGUCAUAAUCGUUCAUUCUUAUUUGAGAUAAUUUUUUUCAAAUUAACCAUAAAUUUGUACAUCAUAUUAAUUCAAAAUUAUGAUUUACAAAUUUAUCAACCAAUAUAUUUUUUAAAUUAUUUUUAUUGUAAUAUAUUGAUAGUUCCAAAAUUUUAAAUUGUAAAUUAAUUUUAAAAUUUGAAUUGAAAUAUAGAUUUACAGUAGAUAUUCUGGCAAAAAUUUGUAUAAGUAUAUUUUUUAUUAUCUCUCUACUAAUUUUUUUUCAUUAAGUCAGUGGCAAAGUUAAAACUAAAAGAUAGUAAAGUGAAUAUCCGAUAAAUCUAGAUAGGAUAUUUAAAAUUUUUUUGUAUAUAAUUUAACGAAAUGUUAACGGAGGAGCCGGAGAAAAAUGAAAUCAUAUUAACGGAGUAUAAUUUUUAUUAAAGUGAAUACUUUUUUAUU
This 2327-nucleotide long non-coding RNA is filed under the name Ananas comosus (pineapple). Its description in RNAcentral is "long non-coding RNA (ACOM_LNC007863)". Lineage: Eukaryota; Viridiplantae; Streptophyta; Magnoliopsida; Poales; Bromeliaceae. The record is from RNAcentral.